GACGAACGCUGGCGGCGUGCUUAACACAUGCAAGUCGAACGGAAAGGCCCUGCUUUUGUGGGGUUCUCGAGUGGCGAACGGGUGAGUAACACGUGAGUAACCUGCCCUUGAUUUUGGGAUAACUUCAGGAAACUGGGGCUAAUACCGGAUAGGAGCUCCUGCUGCAUGGUGGGGGUUGGACAUUUUCGGCGGUUGUGGAUGGACUCGCGGCUUAUCAGCUUGUUGGUGGGGUAGUGGCUUACCAAGGCUUUGACGGGUAGCCGGCCUGAGAGGGUGACCGGCCACAUUGGGACUGGGAUACGGCCCAGACUCCUACGGGAGGCAGCAGUGGGGAAUAUUGCACAAUGGGCGGAAGCCUGAUGCAGCAACGCCGCGUGCGGGAUGACGGCCUUCGGGUUGUAAACCGCUUUCGCCUGUGACGAAGCGUGAGUGACGGUAAUGGGUAAAGAAGCACCGGCUAACUACGU
RNAcentral lists this ribosomal RNA (467 nucleotides) under uncultured bacterium. RNAcentral describes it as "partial 16S ribosomal RNA". It matches the Rfam family "Bacterial small subunit ribosomal RNA", at positions 28 to 506 of the family's 1533-position model. The record is from RNAcentral.